This 496-nucleotide ribosomal RNA is filed under the name uncultured bacterium. RNAcentral describes it as "bacterial SSU rRNA". It matches the Rfam family "Bacterial small subunit ribosomal RNA", at positions 29 to 512 of the family's 1533-position model. The record is from RNAcentral.
AGUGAACGCUGGCGGUAGGCCUAACACAUGCAAGUCGAACGGCAGCACAGGAGAGCUUGCUCUCUGGGUGGCGAGUGGCGGACGGGUGAGGAAUACAUCGGAAUCUACUCUGUCGUGGGGGAUAACGUAGGGAAACUUACGCUAAUACCGCAUACGACCUACGGGUGAAAGUGGGGGACCGCAAGGCCUCACGCGACUGAAUGAGCCGAUGUCGGAUUAGCUAGUUGGCGGGGUAAAAGGCCCACCAAGGCGACGAUCCGUAGCUGGUCUGAGAGGAUGAUCAGCCACACUGGAACUGAGACACGGUCCAGACUCCUACGGGAGGCAGCAGUGGGGAAUAUUGGACAAUGGGCGCAAGCCUGAUCCAGCCAUACCGCGUGAGUGAAGAAGGCCCUCGGGUUUAAAGCUCUUUUGUUGGGAAAGAAAUCCUGUUGGUAAUACCCGGCAGGGAUGACGGUACCCAAAGAAUAAAGCAACCGGCUAACUUCGUGCCAGC